UUAAGCGACUAAGCGUACACGGUGGAUGCCCUGGCAGUCAGAGGCGAUGAAGGACGUGCUAAUCUGCGAUAAGCGUCGGUAAGGUGAUAUGAACCGUUAUAACCGGCGAUUUCCGAAUGGGGAAACCCAGUGUGUUUCGACACACUAUCAUUAACUGAAUCCAUAGGUUAAUGAGGCGAACCGGGGGAACUGAAACAUCUAAGUACCCCGAGGAAAAGAAAUCAACCGAGAUUCCCCCAGUAGCGGCGAGCGAACGGGGAGGAGCCCAGAGCCUGAAUCAGUGUGUGUGUUAGUGGAAGCGUCUGGAAAGGCGCGCGAUACAGGGUGACAGCCCCGUACACAAAAAUGCACAUACUGUGAGCUCGAUGAGUAGGGCGGGACACGUGGUAUCCUGUCUGAAUAUGGGGGGACCAUCCUCCAAGGCUAAAUACUCCUGACUGACCGAUAGUGAACCAGUACCGUGAGGGAAAGGCGAAAAGAACCCCGGCGAGGGGAGUGAAAAAGAACCUGAAACCGUGUACGUACAAGCAGUGGGAGCCUCUUUAUGGGGUGACUGCGUACCUUUUGUAUAAUGGGUCAGCGACUUAUAUUCUGUAGCAAGGUUAACCGAAUAGGGGAGCCGAAGGGAAACCGAGUCUUAACUGGGCGUUAAGUUGCAGGGUAUAGACCCGAAACCCGGUGAUCUAGCCAUGGGCAGGUUGAAGGUUGGGUAACACUAACUGGAGGACCGAACCGACUAAUGUUGAAAAAUUAGCGGAUGACUUGUGGCUGGGGGUGAAAGGCCAAUCAAACCGGGAGAUAGCUGGUUCUCCCCGAAAGCUAUUUAGGUAGCGCCUCGUGAAUUCAUCUCCGGGGGUAGAGCACUGUUUCGGCAAGGGGGUCAUCCCGACUUACCAACCCGAUGCAAACUGCGAAUACCGGAGAAUGUUAUCACGGGAGACACACGGCGGGUGCUAACGUCCGUCGUGAAGAGGGAAACAACCCAGACCGCCAGCUAAGGUCCCAAAGUCAUGGUUAAGUGGGAAACGAUGUGGGAAGGCCCAGACAGCCAGGAUGUUGGCUUAGAAGCAGCCAUCAUUUAAAGAAAGCGUAAUAGCUCACUGGUCGAGUCGGCCUGCGCGGAAGAUGUAACGGGGCUAAACCAUGCACCGAAGCUGCGGCAGCGACGCUUAUGCGUUGUUGGGUAGGGGAGCGUUCUGUAAGCCUGCGAAGGUGUGCUGUGAGGCAUGCUGGAGGUAUCAGAAGUGCGAAUGCUGACAUAAGUAACGAUAAAGCGGGUGAAAAGCCCGCUCGCCGGAAGACCAAGGGUUCCUGUCCAACGUUAAUCGGGGCAGGGUGAGUCGACCCCUAAGGCGAGGCCGAAAGGCGUAGUCGAUGGGAAACAGGUUAAUAUUCCUGUACUUGGUGUUACUGCGAAGGGGGGACGGAGAAGGCUAUGUUGGCCGGGCGACGGUUGUCCCGGUUUAAGCGUGUAGGCUGGUUUUCCAGGCAAAUCCGGAAAAUCAAGGCUGAGGCGUGAUGACGAGGCACUACGGUGCUGAAGCAACAAAUGCCCUGCUUCCAGGAAAAGCCUCUAAGCAUCAGGUAACAUCAAAUCGUACCCCAAACCGACACAGGUGGUCAGGUAGAGAAUACCAAGGCGCUUGAGAGAACUCGGGUGAAGGAACUAGGCAAAAUGGUGCCGUAACUUCGGGAGAAGGCACGCUGAUAUGUAGGUGAAGCGACUUGCUCGUGGAGCUGAAAUCAGUCGAAGAUACCAGCUGGCUGCAACUGUUUAUUAAAAACACAGCACUGUGCAAACACGAAAGUGGACGUAUACGGUGUGACGCCUGCCCGGUGCCGGAAGGUUAAUUGAUGGGGUUAGCGGUAACGCGAAGCUCUUGAUCGAAGCCCCGGUAAACGGCGGCCGUAACUAUAACGGUCCUAAGGUAGCGAAAUUCCUUGUCGGGUAAGUUCCGACCUGCACGAAUGGCGUAAUGAUGGCCAGGCUGUCUCCACCCGAGACUCAGUGAAAUUGAACUCGCUGUGAAGAUGCAGUGUACCCGCGGCAAGACGGAAAGACCCCGUGAACCUUUACUAUAGCUUGACACUGAACAUUGAGCCUUGAUGUGUAGGAUAGGUGGGAGGCUUUGAAGUGUGGACGCCAGUCUGCAUGGAGCCGACCUUGAAAUACCACCCUUUAAUGUUUGAUGUUCUAACGUUGGCCCCUGAUCGGGGUUGCGGACAGUGUCUGGUGGGUAGUUUGACUGGGGCGGUCUCCUCCUAAAGAGUAACGGAGGAGCACGAAGGUUGGCUAAUCCUGGUCGGACAUCAGGAGGUUAGUGCAAUGGCAUAAGCCAGCUUGACUGCGAGCGUGACGGCGCGAGCAGGUGCGAAAGCAGGUCAUAGUGAUCCGGUGGUUCUGAAUGGAAGGGCCAUCGCUCAACGGAUAAAAGGUACUCCGGGGAUAACAGGCUGAUACCGCCCAAGAGUUCAUAUCGACGGCGGUGUUUGGCACCUCGAUGUCGGCUCAUCACAUCCUGGGGCUGAAGUAGGUCCCAAGGGUAUGGCUGUUCGCCAUUUAAAGUGGUACGCGAGCUGGGUUUAGAACGUCGUGAGACAGUUCGGUCCCUAUCUGCCGUGGGCGCUGGAGAACUGAGGGGGGCUGCUCCUAGUACGAGAGGACCGGAGUGGACGCAUCACUGGUGUUCGGGUUGUCAUGCCAAUGGCACUGCCCGGUAGCUAAAUGCGGAAGAGAUAAGUGCUGAAAGCAUCUAAGCACGAAACUUGCCCCGAGAUGAGUUCUCCCUGAGACUUAGAGUCUCCUGAAGGAACGUUGAAGACGACGACGUUGAUAGGCCGGGUGUGUAAGCGCAGCGAUGCGUUGAGCUAACCGGUACUAAUGAACCGUGAGGCUUAACCU
RNAcentral lists this ribosomal RNA (2902 nucleotides) under Escherichia coli. RNAcentral's name for it is "23S ribosomal RNA". It matches the Rfam family "Bacterial large subunit ribosomal RNA". Lineage: Bacteria; Pseudomonadati; Pseudomonadota; Gammaproteobacteria; Enterobacterales; Enterobacteriaceae. The record is from RNAcentral.